UAACGAAUCUUCCCCAAUGCACGCAAGUGUGAGGGAGCGACGCCGCGUGUGGGACGAAGUCCUUCGGGAUGUAAACCACUGUCAGGGGAUACCAAGUUCUGAGGAUCCCCAGAGGAAGGGGCGGCUAACUCUGUGCCAGCAGCCGCGGUAAGACAGAGGCCCCAAGCGUUAGGCGGAAUCACUGGGCUUAAAGCGUGUGUAGGCGGACGCCUAAGUGUCUUGUGAAAUCCCACGGCUCACCCGUGGAACUGCUGGGCAUACUGGGCGUCUUGGGCCAACUAGGGGCAGUCGGAACAAGCGGUGGAGCGGUGAAAUGCGUAGAUAUCGCUUGGAACGCCGAAGGUGAAAACAGACUGCUGGGGUUGUGCCGACGCUGAGACACGAAAGCCAGGGGAGCAAAC
This 401-nucleotide ribosomal RNA is filed under the name uncultured bacterium. Its description in RNAcentral is "bacterial SSU rRNA". It matches the Rfam family "Bacterial small subunit ribosomal RNA", at positions 355 to 773 of the family's 1533-position model. The record is from RNAcentral.